This is a non-coding RNA of Xyrichtys novacula (pearly razorfish), 5424 nucleotides long. The record is from the annotation of a GenBank genome assembly. Lineage: Eukaryota; Metazoa; Chordata; Actinopteri; Labriformes; Labridae.
UUUUAACUUUCAUCUGUGCUAAGUAACUUUAGCUCGUAAGCUAACCUGUUCAGAUACAACAUACCAUAUGUAUUUUCACUGUCUCAAACUCAAUCACGUUGCUGUCACAGCACCAUUAGGUCUCGGUUGUUACCUUACGUUUAUGGAUUAUAGUUUAAUGCGCUUAUCUGGAACUGGCCCCGACUCAGUACAUGCUAUCAUGACAGACAGCCAUCUCAACACUAGUGUCUAAUCAGAACUGAAUCCGGGACACGUCUUUUUCCCCCUGGAAAGUCUCAAAAUCGCAUCAGGCUUGAUGUGUAUAGUCAGGCGUGCCAAAAUUCGCCUCCGAAUAUUUCGUAAUUUCGUGUUCUUUAUUUGCGUCGGUCCUGGUGUGUAAGGACCUUACCAGUUAGAAACAUCAGUGGUUAUUAAGAUGAGUUAUUGAGCUUGAAACACUGGAUCUGUUACCAACAUCAAAAACCUUUGGUUGUUGCGCGGUUGGUAAUUCAACCACAAACUGAUGGUCCACAAAAUUUUAACAGAUCCCGUAUUUUUUGACUUCUUACAGCCAGUUCAAAGAGUGUUUCUGAAACAGGUGAAUAGAGAGUGAUAAUAAUCUGAUCCAGAUUUAACAAAAGCAUGAUCAGCUUGGACACAACGGGUGUAAGUUUUGUACUGUUUCUUAAAUACUCAGAGCCUGGCCCAGUUGGAUACAGACACAGGGCAUGCUUUAGAGGAGGAAGUGUGUGUGUGUGUGUGUGUGUGUGUGUGUGUGUGUGUGUGUGUGUGUGUGUGUGUGUGUGUGUGUGUGUAGGUGGACAGGCCCAGCUGCCUGUGUUAGCCCUCUACAGAGCACUGACCUGAGUGUCAUGGAGCACCAGUAUGAGGCAUAUUAUCCACCUCAUCAAACAGACCCCCUGAAUCACUCUUGACUCUCUCAAUACUCUUUUUAUCUAAUGUACUGUGCGCAUUUCAAAAGGGGGUUAGCUGGAUGGGUGGGUGGGUGUAGGGGGUUAGAGUAACAGGAGAGAGAGAGAGAGAGAGGGGUAAAAGAGAAGGAGAGAAACAGCUUUUUAUGAGAGACUGGAUGGAGAACAGGGCAGAAAGUCUCUCGCUUUGUCCGAGAAUGGAAAUCAUAUUUGGUGGGGGGCCAUCGCUUUUGUUGUGUAUUAAAAGAGUAGUUGAAAAGACAGAGCAUUUCUUUGUGUGUGUAUGAAGUGUGUCAGCAUGUCCCUCACAGUUUCAGUCUUCAGAAUAUGUUAACAUGUGUCUAAGUCUAGAUUUAGAAAUUUGUUUGAAUGCCACAAGCUGCAAGCAGUUUUUUACCACUGGAUCACAAAAAUAUAAGUACUUUGCAGCUGUAUUAAUUAUAGGAAAAGAGGUGGUAGCUGCAUUGAAAGGACUGCUUUCUGAACACUGUGACACAUAAUUGGAUUUUAAUGUGUUUCUAAAUUUCUUGGACAACUUCCUCUCACUCCAGCGCUGGAAUUAGUCUGUUCGGUGUCAGUCUGAAAUUUCAAAGCCACGAUACAACGGCCGAGAAGCCUUUACAUAUCUUAUACUUGGAAUAAGAUCAUAAAGAAAUAUUUGUAAGAGAUGGUGCAGAGAGAGAAAGGUGAACUGAGAUGAGAUAUGAAGAUAAAGUGAAGUGGCCUUACCCUGUCAACCAACAACUAGAGAUACAAACAGAUUGUCUGAAGAUGAUUUUGUAGAUUCAAAAAUGGUCUACUUAUGCAGUUGAAAAAAGAAAUGGCAAGUUAUUCGUGACACAGUCAAGAUAAAUAGCACUUAUAUGAGGGAUAACACCGACACAAAGCCACCGACCGCUCGUCUGAUCGUACACGCGUUAUCAAGCAGACCGCAAACAACCUGCAGUGUUUGACGACACUUGUAUUUGACCAAUCUCUGACAAGGUGUGGGAGCUCUGUGAGAGAAGACAAACAGCAUCCAGCUGGGUUCACAGCUUUCAAGGGCUCCUUUAUCAAGCUCAAAUGUUUGACUGCCACUGAUGAUGCUUAUGUAACUUGGCCGGCUACUGCAAGGGCUCCAGCAGAAAUGCUAACAAGGAUAUUAUCCACCAUCCCUGCCACUGAUCGAUGACCUUUUCACACAAGCACACUAAUUACCCUAAUUUAAUCUUUCCUCUACAGUCUGUCAGUGUACAGGUGUCCAUCCAUUUCAAAUCUACUCAUAAAGGAUUUCUUUUUUUCUGUUUUUGAGGUAGGUCUUGGUCUUUUGCCACAUAAGUAGGUAAUCAACAUAAAACAAGGACAAGUUUUUCUUCCAAGUGCAUCAGAAAAUAUUGUCUCUCAAAAUCUGAGAACAUCAUGAAAAACUUUUUUUAAAUUUCUUUUUUAAAUAGUUUGAUUCAAAACUGUUAGCUUCAGUCCGUUCAAAAUUCAUCACAUAUAAGAUGAAACAUGCUUAAGUUUUGUUGGUUAGUUUGAUGAUUACAGCUAAUAGCUCAUGUCAUCAGAAAUCCAGUAUCUUAAACUAUUACAAUCUUAACAGCCAAUCUAAACUAACACAUCAAUAAAUAUUUGAACAAAUGAAUGAAAAUAGAAUUGUACAAACAGAUAUGCCUGACUUCCAAAAACUAUGUUCAAACUUCAUGCUGGAGUUCAAACACCUUGGAUUUUGAGCCUCUCUGAUCCUCCUCCAGACUUUGGGACCUUUAUUUUCAACUGAGGCUAUGUUCCCACUGCAGGUCAAUUCAGAUUUUUUCAUGUGUGUGAACAGUGCAAUUCAGCUUUUUUCAAAUGUGACCCAGGCCUUUUCUGUACGUCGAUAUAAAUCAGAUAUGUAUCCGAUGUGACUGCAGUGUGGACGCUCAGGUCGCGUUCAUCCGACCUAUACGUCAUGAAUAUGUGACAAACAUCACCAUUGUUCGACAACACAAACAGGCACGGAAAGCAAUUUGUGCUUUGUGCAAAUGCGAGUCACUUCACGGACUCAUUCCGUUCACAUUAGAUGUCGCAUUUGUUGUUGUAAUGUAACAAUCGCACAAAAAGAUCGGAUUUAACAAAAAAACUGAAUUGUGCAUCAUAACCUGCAGUGUGAACGUAGCCUGAGAUACUGAUUUGACUUUCAACUUAAAACGGGACUUAGGACCUCUGAGCAGUUGUCCAGAUCUUGUUAUUCUUAGCCCAGGUGACACUCUCUGACAUUAUCUCUGGUUCAGUAAGGUCUUGAAAGUAGGACUACUACACUUGUAGUCCAGUUUCUUGGCUCAUCUGUGCGUAGAGGAUGCACAGUAGAUGCUCUGACUCCAGCCUCAAUCUAGUCUUUGUGAAGCACCCCUAAGUUCUUGAAUCUGGGUUGUCUGAGUCCUCUUGAGGCUGCACUCAUCCCUAUUGCUUGGUCUUCUUUUCCUCCCUCACCGUUCCCUUCAGUCAUCUUUCAUGAAUCUGCAUCUAUACAGACUCUGUGAACAGCCAGACUUUUCAGUAGUGACCCACUGUGGCUGAUCCUUCUUACAGAAGGGGGUCACUGAUGGUCCUAAUAAACAUCUAGUCAGCAGUGUGAACCAUGACUGUGGUUGACUGUACCUUUAAGGUAGACAGAUCCAUGGUUGGUUCUACUUUAACAGUUAUUUACUCAAACUUGACAUAAAAACUAUUCCAAUAUUUAGGAGAUUAUUUCUUUUAACCCUUGAGUUGUAGACCGUAAUAAUCCAAACCAAAACAGAGGAACUUUUGAAAUAUUUUAGUCCAUAUAUGUGUAGUAAAUUUGGAAUAUUUGACAUUUUCUGUUCCUGAAAUAAAAUAACCCAUGAAAACACUAAACUUGUUCCAUGAUAUUCAGAUUUUUUGAGCUGCAGCUACUUGUUGAUCUGACUGAACCGACUGUCAUCGAUGAUAAUGGUGGACUAAAUUCUUCCUCCAGUUUCAUUCCUUCUGUGGAGUUAACAUGUAUAUCGGUAGUUUUAACUUGGCGUCAGUAGAUAUCAGUUCAGUUAAGCUGAAUGGUUGUAGCAACACUGACUGAAGCUCCCAUGUUGGGAAACAGAUGUGCUGUCUGAGGCUAACAUCUGUGAAGGGUUAGUUUUCCCUCCGCUGGAGGUGGAUCACUGAUGGGCCUGACGAGCAUUAACUUCUCAUUACCAGCUCCGUCUCUUUUGUUGUAUCUCAAUAAAAGAAAAAAGCAAAGCAAAGAACCAACCAGCCUUUAUUUUAUAUAAGUGUGACCAGCUCAGAGAGCCCAGUGCAAACACACAGCAGAACUUUGAACUCCGUGGUUUGGAGGUCAGAACCUGGUCAGACAUUGGGGGGAGGAAAAGAGGCCCUCUGGGUUCAAGUGGAUCCUCUAAAAGUGACCGAGGAGAAUGGGCCUCAGAAACACACACUCACACUUAGACACAUACUUAAACUCCUUUAAGCCACAGACAGAGGUGAAGUGUCAGUGCAGAUGUUUUGUGUUGUGUCCAGCCACCCAUGUGGAGGGCAGGGGGAGCUGGUGACUGGAUGGUCAGCCACUUUUGAAGUGAUUAACAGGCGGACUUUUAUCAGCCCAUUUUGACUCCCAUCUUUACAAAUACAGCUGUUUAGUCACGGUGGCCAAUCACACAUCGAUUCUACCAUGAACAUGUUAACACUGUGAAUUGAAACGUGUCGUACGUGAACUUUCACUGAGGAGACUGAUUAGAACUUUUUGCAGUGGAGGUGUUACUGCUGAAUACAUGUCGUACCCUGCAAAUGUGGACGGACACGUAAAACUCAAGCUGAGUGUACGGUGCAUUUACACAGCUAUCGGCUCAAGGUCCUUUCACCCGGGGACCAUUUUUGUUGUGCGAUUAUUUCGGACGUCGAUAUAUUUUUUUAACUCGUAUCCUGUCAAUUUUUCUAAAGUUAAGCAUACUGUGUGUCCACUUCUGACCAAUCAGAUUGCAUGUUGUUGCAAUGUCAGAUUCACCGGUAUAUCCAACAUGGCUGACCAGCUGAUUGUUUACGUGUCAGAGAACAGAGUGCUUUUUGAUAAAAGACACAAACAUUGCAAAGAUAACAACCUGAAAGACAACUUGUGAAGAGUCAUAGUAUCAGAUUUCUCAUAUAACGAUGGUUUGUUUACUUUAACAGUUUGCUAAACGUCUUUGUUUUAACUUUCAUCUGUGCUAAGUAACUUUAGCUCGUAAGCUAACCUGUUCAGAUACAACAUACCAUAUGUAUUUUCACUGUCUCAAACUCAAUCGUGUUGCUGUCACAGCACCAUUAGGUCUCAGUUGUUACCUUACGUUUAUGGAUUAUAGUUUAAUGUGCUUAUCUGGUACUGGCCCCGACUUAGUACAUGCUAUCAUGACAGACAGCCAUCUCAACACUAGUGUCUAAUCAGAACUGAAAAACAGUCAGUCUGCUGUUGUGUCAGUCUUCUCGCUUUCACCCAGGACGCACCUUUUUCCUCCCGGAAAGUCGCAAAAUCGCAUCGGGCUUGAUGUGUAUAGUCAGG